Gossypium raimondii (Peruvian cotton) is the source of this 1150-nucleotide long non-coding RNA. RefSeq lists it as uncharacterized. The record is from RefSeq and is a predicted model, not a curated record. The transcript is spliced from 3 exons. Lineage: Eukaryota; Viridiplantae; Streptophyta; Magnoliopsida; Malvales; Malvaceae.
GGUAAGUUUGUAGUAUAUAAUAUAUAUUUUUGUUUCCUUAUGAUUAUGUAUAUCAAUUGUUACUUAAAUUAUAAUUAAUGUGAAAUUUCAUUGUUUGCUUGUAAAUUAUUAAAUGUUGGAAUUAAGUACAAAUGGAAAAUGAAUAUUUGGUCGUGGCAAAUCUUGUGGUUUCACAAUUUUGAAAUGAAUGUAACAGAUUUAUAUUAUGUGUACAAAUAAUUAAUUAAGUAAAAAUCACUAAAUUGAAAAAGGUGCAAAAAUAGAUUUCUAUUAGGUAAAGGGGUCAAUUUAUUAUGGAUUAUCAAACUAAUGGACUUAAAUGGUAAAUGCACCAAAUGAACUUAGAGUGGAUGGUUUUGGGUGAUUAAAUGCAUGAAAUUUGAUUUUUUAAGGGAAAAAUUGUAAAUUUGUAAUUAAAUGGAAAUUAAAACAAACUAAAAGACAAAAAUGUUAUCAUCUCCUCUAAUUUGCUAUUUUGCAAACCGAAUAACAGAGAGGAAGAAGCUUCCGAUCAUGGAGUUUUUACAUGCAUGAUCAACAAACGAACCAAACAGAUCUAAACCAGGGAAAACCUAAUGUGUCAGAUUUGUCGGCUGCUUCAUUUUUACAACUAUAUUUGUCGAGGUAAGUUUGUAGUAUAUAAUAUAUAUGUUUGUUUCCUUAUGAUUAUGUAUAUCAAUUGUUAGUUAAAUUAUAAUUAAUGUGAAAAUUUCAUUGUUUGCUUGUAAAUUAUUAAAUGUUGGAAUUAAGUACAAAUGGAAAAUGAAUAUUUGGUCGUGGCAAAUCUUGUGGUUUCACAAUUUUGAAAUGAAUGUAACAGAUUUAUAUUAUGUGUACAGAUAAUUAAUUAAGUAAAAAUCACUAAAUUGAAAAAGGUGCAAAAAUAGAUUUCUAUUAGGUAAAGGGGUCAAUUUAUUAUGGAUUAUCAAACUAAUGGACUUAAAUGGUAAAUGCACCAAAUGAACUUAGAGUGGAUGGUUUUGGGUGAUUAAAUGCAUGAAAUUUGAUUUUUUAAGGGAAAAAUUGUAAAUUUGUAAUUAAAUGGAAAUUAAAACAAACUAAAAGACAAAAAUGUUAUCAUCUCCUCUAAUUUGCUAUUUUGCAAACCGAAUAACAGAGAGGAAGAAGCUUCCGAUCAUGGAGUUUUUAC